UACGUAGGUGGCAAGCGUUGUCCGGAUUUACUGGGCGUAAAGAGCGCGCAGGCGGUCGUUCAAGUCGCGUGUGAAAGCCCCCGGCUCAACUGGGGAGGGUCACGCGAUACUGAUCGACUCGAAGGCAGGAGAGGGUAGUGGAAUUCCCGGUGUAGUGGUGAAAUGCGUAGAUAUCGGGAGGAACACCAGUGGCGAAGGCGACUACCUGGACUGGUACUGACGCUGAUGCGCGAAAGCGUGGGGAGCAAACAGG
Molecule: ribosomal RNA, 253 nt
Filed under: uncultured bacterium
Lineage: Bacteria
Description: partial 16S ribosomal RNA
Rfam family: Bacterial small subunit ribosomal RNA
Source: RNAcentral